AGCACGUGGUGUUCCCUUGCUCUGGGACCUGGGCCCUUUGUGGUAGCAGAGUCAGAGCACAGAGAACAGGACAAUUCCUGGGGGCUUAUAGCAGGACGAAGUGUGUUGCCGGAGGUCUCAGGUGCACCCAAAUUGGAGCUGAGAGAGCCUGAAGAAAAGUGGGACCACCCAGCCAAGCCAAGAACGGUUACCACUUCUGCUCUGAGAGCAGAUCUCGCACAAACAGAUGGGAAGCAGAAACAAGGGGAGAGGAUUGAAGAUGAACCCACGAUUUAAAAGUCCUUGUCUGCAGGAGGUGGCAUUACCUGUGACCUCACUUCACUUCUUCAUACAUGGCUGUUGUAGCAGGUACACUGUAAAGAAGCAUGAUUGUUUCUAGAAAUGCGAAAACAGGUGGCAAAGAUUUAAAACAUGUCAGAACUCCAAAGAAUAUUUAAUGAUGUUUUAAAAAGCAUUCAGGCUGCAAAGUAGGAAAACUUGUUUUAAUGCUCAAGGUAGAAGGGAAUUUGAACAUUGUUUUUUAAAAGUACAUAUAUGUGCAAAGUGAAGAGAGAAAAAUGCAUGGCAAAGAUGUUUUAAAAGUGGUUAUUUCUUCUGAUUGAGGUACCAAUUGUUUUCUACUUUAUAAUUUCUCAAAACUGAACGCUUUGCCACUAGGUAUAACUGUUGUAAUUUCUUGAAAUAGAAGGGUUUUCUACAGUAAACUAUAAAACAUUUUCAAGCACUCAGAAAUAUAUAUUGAUGUGCAAGUAUGCAAACGGUAUAAGGUAGUGCUGAGGAUUGUGUAAAACUACAGCCAGUAUGUGUCCAAUUAUGUUUAGAGAGAAGCAGACGUGUGUAUUUGUAUAUGUGUGUGUAAACAUUUAUUUAUAUAUAUAUAUGUAUAUGUUUAUACACAUACAUAUAUAUAUAAACAUUUUAAAAAGCUGCAUAUUUAAAAUGAUGGUCAGUGUUAUAGUGAGUAUGCUUUUCAACUUGAAAUUCUCAGUUGACAUUUAUAUCCAUAUUUAUAUUUAUAUAAAGCAAGGCAUUAAUGAAAGAUUAUAGCUGCAUGUGAAGGGUGUGAGUGCAUCCUCCUUAAAUUAAAGUCUUCUUAGGUUACACAUCUGGGUGAUGGAAUUUGAGAGAUACCAAUUUCAACCUUCAAUUAUUGAAUUCUGUUUUCGUUCUUUACAGGCUUUAAAGAAAAUCUUAAGGUAAAAAUUGGGUGUAAAUUUUGAGUAGUAUAAGAAAAGAAACCCUAAUGUUCUGGCUCAUGAGUAUCCAGUGUCUGUUCCAAUAUUAGUUUUAGAAAAAAAAAAUUUGUACCUGUAUGUCAUCGUAUUAAUGAUCAGGUCUAUGUAUAUGCAGGAUUUAAAGGCCUCACUCUUAAUUGUUAUACAAACAGAAUGGCAUUUCUAAAUCGUGCUUAACAGAAAAUCCUGUUUCUGAAGCAUAUUUAAAGUCGUAUGAAGAGGCGUUUAUAAGACCUAAGAAAAUGAUGAUAGAAGGAAGCAACUCAAACUGUAAGGAUAUUCCACAUGUAUCAUGCCUGGAUCCCUGAGACUUACCCACAGAAGCAGACAACUUGAUAACUUGGGAAAAGGCUGGAGAUAUAAUGUGCUGAGUGAACAAAAACAGAACUGUGAAGACGAAGCCUAGUGGAAAUUGAAUUCUUGUGAAGAGAAGACGCCUGAUGAGGGUGGGUAGUUUUAGGCCUCAGUUUUCAGAUGAAAACCAAAGCAAAAGUACAGCAGUGAGCAGGUUUUCUCAAACUGGGCAAGAUACUAAGUAGCCAUAUUUCCCGGUGACUUGGCCUCUUGGUUACAUUUUUUUCUAACAGGAUGGGUGGGUGAAGAGGGCUGAGGGGACAGGGAGGAAAAUACUCGUUGGCAUAGAUGGUGCACUACUGCCAUCGUGAGGAAAUAGUUUAAAAUCUACCUACGCCGGCAUUGCUUUCUUUACGUGAGGACUUUCAGUUUCGAAAGAGCCAUUCAGUGGAAGGGCUUCUUGAGCCCUGGUCCCAAAGUGGGCCUCCCUGUCUUCUCUGAGUUAUUAUAGAAGUUCUGGCCAAAGUCCUAAUGCUGGUAUGACAAAGGUGAGGUCCAGGUGUAGAAGCUGGCCAGUGGGGCUGCCUGGACUGAGCCAUCAGCCUCAAGGAAGUCCCAGCACAGGAAGUUGUGGGGUGAAACUGUCAAGUAGUUAAAAAUGGACUUAUACACACAUAAAAACACAUCAAUGCUCAGACUCCUGAAACUGAAGAUAAAGAGAAAAUUUAGAGGACAGCUGGAUACAAAGACAAGAUAUUCCCUGGAGAGGAACAAAUAUAAGAUUUAUAGUAGACUGGACAAGCAUUAUGCAAGCUAUAAGGAAACAGACUGGCAUCUUAAUGGUACUGAAAACAAAACAAAACAAAAUAAAAAUAAAAUUAUCAACCCAGAAUUUUAUACCAUCAAAAAUGUCUUUCAAAAUAAGGAGAAAAAAAAAAGGAAUGUGGUAUCAGAUAGACACCCGAGAUUGACCCAAAGAAUCAGAGAUCUAGAGAAAUAGUUAAAAUGAAAGUAAAUACAAAAGACAUUUUUCCUUAUUUCUAAUUGUUUUAAAAUAUAUUUGACUAUCAGAAAAAU
This is a non-coding RNA of Delphinapterus leucas (beluga whale), 2606 nucleotides long. NCBI's taxonomy places the organism in Eukaryota, Metazoa, Chordata, Mammalia, Artiodactyla, Monodontidae. The record is from RefSeq and is a predicted model, not a curated record.